AGGAGGAUGCAGCCUAGGAACCACUGGUACCCACCAUAUGUGAAGGGCUGUGCACCAGUGCUGCAUACUGCAGAUGCUGCACUGCUGAGCCGUGGUCCAGCAGAGGGUGAAAGGUGGACAAGUACCAAAAACCUGAAUGUGCACUCACUCUUAUUGAGACGUUGCAGAAUUCCCUGUAAACAUCCGCCUCCUCUCCUUAGCACCCUCAUCUGCAUCAUGUAUGGAAGAGGUCCUGCACUUCUGAUUCAAGCAUUUCUCUGAAGUCUGCAGGAACACAUGGAAGGAUUCCCAAAGAAUUUGAGGUCGGAUGUUUGUGACCUCACAUCACCCAGCAAGGCACCCGGUGCCACAAAGGUCCAUGCUGGUUUUGGAAGAUGCUGAGCACCAGUUGCUUUCCCCAGCAGCAGGGUUGUUCAAAAGUGUCUUUAGGUAUUGAUCACUCUUCGCUGAGUGCAGGCCCUUUCUCCAGGCCAGACCCACCUGCCACCCGUGCAAAUGCAUGCUCAGAUGAAGAAUGCUCAGGACCUUGUGGCAUUAAGAAGACCUCAGGGCAUCCAGAAGGACCAACGGCGGGCAGGCUGAUCUACGCACAAAUGUCCUCUGUUGAACUUUUCCUCUGCUCUUGCGGUACUUUUAGCUUACAGCAUGGGCGAGCAUCAACCAGCAACAGAGAAGAGCUGUCAUCAAGGCAGAGAACAAGUGGAGCAGCCUGCUGCAGUUGUUCUGUUGAGUCUUCAGCCUCUGAAAUUAGUAACUAAAUUGGCAAGGGCGAAGGCCAAAGCUGAAGUAAUCAGGCAGUUACUGCAAGAACUAAAGAAGCCAUUGAAUGACGCCAGCCAGGCUUACUUCUUUCUUAGGAGGGAACUUGAAGCUCUCUUGCAUAUUUAGAGAUUGAGGGGACAGCUCUUGGAGGAACUUGCACAGCCCAGAUGAUUCCUCUGUGCAAAAAACUGUACACGUUUGAAUCAUGAAAUACAGUUGAAAAAAGUAUUUGGGGACUAAGAAGUCACCAGAAAUUGGACUGGCUCUGAAGCACACACGUAACUGAUCUCUGGGCAUCCUCAAGUUUUGAUGUGAGAAGAGCUGGCUCCAAAUGCUACGCAUGGCCCCACUGAUUAUUUUAUUAUUAUUAUUAUUUUUAAAUCUGAAUACUACCUCAUAUGUAGCCCACACAUCCCCAACAUAGGGAUGCUUUAAAUUCAAAAACUCAGGAGGAGCCUAUCAGAUUUUUUUAGGGCAGGUUGCCAGUUCUUUUGCCAGCACACAUACUACUACAAAUUCUUACACGCACAUACAUAGUUCAGACUUGCCCUGCGCAGUGACACCCAGCCGCAUUUAAUUCCUGUGCAUACCAUCUCCCUUUGCCAGCCUCCUCUCUGAUGAUUUUUUCCUUGUUCUCAACAAACACAAUUCUAAAUACAGUCCCUGAGUUUCCAUUAAGGAUGAGCAAAGCAGAGCUUUAAACUGUGAAGCUGUUUUAACCCAUUUACUCCCAGAUCUACAAGCUACAAGCUUCCCAGUUUCAUUCCAACAACUCAGGAAAAUUU
This 1547-nucleotide long non-coding RNA is filed under the name Anas platyrhynchos platyrhynchos (common mallard). Its description in RNAcentral is "lncRNA (ENSAPLG00000017380.1)". Lineage: Eukaryota; Metazoa; Chordata; Aves; Anseriformes; Anatidae. The record is from RNAcentral.